Molecule: small nuclear RNA, 104 nt
Organism: Trichosurus vulpecula (common brushtail)
Lineage: Eukaryota; Metazoa; Chordata; Mammalia; Diprotodontia; Phalangeridae
Source: RefSeq, a predicted model, not a curated record
GCUUGCUUUGGCCACACAUUUACCAAAAUUGAAAUGAUACAGAGAAGAUUAGAUGGCUUCUGCGUAAGGAUGACACGCAAAUUCAUGAAGAGUUUCAUAUUUUU